CGAUAGCUUGUAUCAAGAAGAUUUCCAUCAUAUCUUCCUUUACAAAGCCUGACAUUAUCGUUAAAAAAAAUAGUCCGUUUGGGAGGAAAAUCCUCCUCAUCCCGACCUACGGAACAAUGUAGCCCACAGCUGAGGACGCCCCCGACUUUUUUCAAGGCAAGCGCCGACCGGAUGCCUGCAAAAAGAAAAAAGCUCCUCCAAUCCUAUUCGGCAGGCUGUGAUGAUCAUCAGCAACCGCGAGGCUACCAGUGCCUCCACUGAGUCUGAGACCUAAUCCUCAAGAAACUGCAAAGCUCCCGUGAGUCAGAAUUUGCAUCCUGAAUUAUGAAGUGAGACAACUUCUACUGGACAUACAGCUGCUUGUGGAAUUCGUAGCUGGACAGUACGUAUUGUAAAAUAAAAUAAAAAAGACAACUCAAAUGUGAAUGAAGGAAAAAGAGACAGUUCAAGAAUGGAAAAGCUUUUGAAGCCAGACAGACUGAUGGGGGG
Etheostoma spectabile (orangethroat darter) is the source of this 489-nucleotide long non-coding RNA. RefSeq lists it as uncharacterized. The transcript is spliced from 3 exons. The record is from RefSeq and is a predicted model, not a curated record. NCBI's taxonomy places the organism in Eukaryota, Metazoa, Chordata, Actinopteri, Perciformes, Percidae.